CAAAAAAAAAAAAAAAAAAAAAAAAGAAAUUUUUAGAAUCAUGGUAGGGAAUUCUGAAAAGAAACAUCCUCAUAUUUCCCAGUUUUCCUAUCAUUAAGGAAAUUAGUAUCAGGUGAAAACUAGAAGUGAAGAUGUUUGGUAUGUUUUAAGGAAGUUGGUCCUCCCUGUUGGUAAAAUAGAAAAGAUGAGUGGCACUUGGUGUGAUAAGCCAGGGUCAAGACUCCAUAGUGCACAUCUUCAUGCACAAGUGCAAACUCAUCAUGGUAAAUGGGGGGAACGUUCUAGAGAGCAAGAGACCAAGUAAAAUGUACAAGGCAAGAGUGCUGUGGAAGCUGAAACAAGGGGGAGGGUGGAUCUGAAACAAGCAGGCAGGGAAGGACUGGGGGGGUCACUGGGGGAAGACAGGCAGGAGCAAGCUGCCAGGUACCACCAACUGCUCUUUGCAGAGGUGCCACAAGUGAAGCUGCCUUGAUGCUACAAGUCUGAUGCCUGACGUGUCUGAGGAGCAUGGCAGAGGAGGUCACUGUGGACGGUACCACAGGGAGGUGGACAGAGCAUACAGUGAAGCAGUGCUUCUCAAACGGUGGGUUGUGACCCCUUUGACAAACCUCUACCUCCAAAAAAUAGUUACAAUUCCUAACAGUAGCAAAAUGACAGUUAUGAAGUAGCAAUGAAAAUAAUUUCAUGGUUGGGGGUCACCACAACAUGAGGAAAUGUAUUAAAGGGUCACAGCGUUAGAAGAGUUGAGAACCACUACAACAUUGGUUGGUGUUUCUUCCCUCCACCCACCCCCAACAAGCUGGGGGCUCAAUCCAGUUUAGCAUCUCAUUAUUCAACCUAUGAAUGUACAACAGAAUGAUUCCUAAAGAGACUUCUCAAUAAGGCACCACCCCAGUUGAGAAAAUAUUAGGAAAUGAUGGCUGCUGAUGGGCUGCCCAUGCUCUACCUAUACACACACAGGCAUUUAGCUAACCCCCAACACCAAGGCUAGUCUAACAAGUUAAUUUAUGAAAGUCAAGUCAUCAAGGAAGGCAAAUGAGUGUAAAAAAAAAAAAAAACUUUGACAAGAAAUUUCACUUGACCCAGGUGAUCUUAAAAGUUUAUUUCAAGCCUUCCUGGGGGUAAAGAAAAUUCCAAAGGCAUUAUAACUGGGGUCAGAAGACGACAUGUUGAUUGUUUUUGACAGAGGUAUUACUGGUGUAGGAUAAAAGGGCCAGCCAAAGAAACACACCCUGACCUGAAACCAGAGCCAAAGAAACACAACCUGCCCCUGAGAUCAGAGCCAAUUCACUGCCCCCCCUGAAACUAGAGCCAAAAGGUUAAAAAGGGCCAGUGAAAGAAACACACUUUGACUCUGAAACCAGAGCCAAAGAAACACACUCUACCCCUGAACAAUUCAGCAUGAAAACCAACCAAUUCCUGAGCAUGAAAUCCAAUGCAUUUCUGAGCUUGUCCAAGCUCAGGGAUUGAAAUCCUAUCAAUCCCCACCCCGAAAAUCUUCACCCUGGAAAAACUCUGCCCCUAAGAAGACAUAUAUAAGCUUUGUACCCAUUCAGUUAGAAGCUGCCUUUUCUCACCCUGCAGAGGCAGCCAGCCACUCUCCUGGAUUCCUCCCUCCCAACAAAUCUCUUGAAUGAGGUUUGAGUGAUGACCUUCCUUUGCUGGAGUAGACUGAGGCAGAGAAGUAACAACUUUGGUAGGAGCAGGAGCUGAACUACUACAUUUCUGUGGGGAAAUUUCCUUAGCAGAGUGGAGUAGAGAUGUAAUGGCUCUUGCAGAGAGAAGCAGAACUGCUACAUUCCUGUGGGGGAACUCUCCCUCACCAGAACAGAGCUGUAAGUAUAGCCUGGCUUCCCACAGCCAGGAUACCUUUCCAUUCCGAGCUAUAGGUAAUAGCCUGGCUUCUGACGGCCAGGAUAGCUUUCUCUUCAGAGCUGCAACACUUACAAGUACAGCCUGGCUCCUGACGGCCAGGAAACCUUUCUCUUCAGAGCUCUAACACUUACAAGUACAGCCUGGCCUCUGACGGCCAGGAUAGCUUUCUCUUCAGAGCUCUAACACUUACAAGUACAGCCUGGCUCCUGACGGCCAAGAUAGCUUUCUCUUCAGAGCUGUAACACUUACAGGUAUAGCUUGGCUUCCAAUGGUCAGGACAGGUUUCUCUUCAGAGUUGUAACACAGGUAUAGCCUGGCUUCUGACAGCCAGGAUACCUUUCCAUUCUGAGCUAUAGGUAUAGUCCGGCUUCUCCAGGAAACCUUCCUCUUCAGAGCUGUAACACAAGUAUAGCCUGGCUUCCAACGGCCAAGAAAACUUUCUCUUCAGAGCUGUAACACUGACAGGUAUAGCCUGGCUUCCUACAGCCA
Molecule: long non-coding RNA, 2364 nt
Organism: Peromyscus californicus insignis
Lineage: Eukaryota; Metazoa; Chordata; Mammalia; Rodentia; Cricetidae
Exons: 2
Source: RefSeq, a predicted model, not a curated record